Molecule: long non-coding RNA, 351 nt
Organism: Arabidopsis lyrata subsp. lyrata
Lineage: Eukaryota; Viridiplantae; Streptophyta; Magnoliopsida; Brassicales; Brassicaceae
Exons: 2
Source: RefSeq, a predicted model, not a curated record
CUUUGCUGAAUAUAACCCACUCUCUGCAUACUCCGGAGACAUGUAACCACUGCAUAAUGGAAGAACCUUUAUUCAAACUUAACGCCUUGCUCUCGCUCCUGCUACAAAUUCUUGCCAAGCCAAAAUCUGAUAUUUUGGGGAUCAUAUUUCUAUCAAGCAAGAUGUUGGCUGGUUUCAAAUCCCUGUGGACAAUCAUAACUCGCGAACCGUCUUGCAUAUAGGCAAGACCGUGACAAAUACCUUUAAUAAUCUCAAAUCUCAUCUGCCAGUUUAGGUCGGAUGAGUUUUGGCCUCCACCUAAAACUCAGGUCAAAAAGAAUAUUGCGGUCAAAAAGAUUGAACUAAUGAGAA